This 253-nucleotide ribosomal RNA is filed under the name uncultured bacterium. Its description in RNAcentral is "partial 16S ribosomal RNA". It matches the Rfam family "Bacterial small subunit ribosomal RNA", at positions 524 to 776 of the family's 1533-position model. The record is from RNAcentral.
UACGUAGGGUGCAAGCGUUGUCCGGAAUUAUUGGGCGUAAAGAGCUCGUAGGCGGUCUGUCGCGUCUGCUGUGAAAACUCGGGGCUUAACUCCGGGCCUGCAGUGGGUACGGGCUGACUAGAGUGCGGUAGGGGAGACUGGAAUUCCUGGUGUAGCGGUGAAAUGCGCAGAUAUCAGGAGGAACACCGGUGGCGAAGGCGGGUCUCUGGGCCGUAACUGACGCUGAGGAGCGAAAGCGUGGGGAGCGAACAGG